This 519-nucleotide ribosomal RNA is filed under the name uncultured eukaryote. RNAcentral describes it as "bacterial SSU rRNA". It matches the Rfam family "Eukaryotic small subunit ribosomal RNA", at positions 1161 to 1703 of the family's 1831-position model. The record is from RNAcentral.
AGGGCACCACCAGGAGUGGAGCUUGCGGCUUAAUUUGACUCAACACGGGAAACCUCACCCGGCCAGUACAUCCGAAGGAUUGACAGAUUGAUAGCUCUUUCAUGAUUUGAUGAAUGGUGGUGCAUGGCCGUUCUUAGUUCGUGGCGUGAGCCGUCUGCUUAAUUGCGACAACGAGCGAGACUUCAACUGUUAACUAGCACCCACUUUCCUUCGUGUGAGCGGGAGGCUUCUUAACUGGAUUGGUGCUUUCAAAGCACAAGAAAUGGAGCAAUAACAGGUCUGUGAUGCCCUUAGAUGUUCGGGGCCGCACGCGUGCUACAAUGAUGGUAACAGCGUGAUUGUCCUCGCCCGACAGGGCUUGGCAAACAGUUGAGAUAUUAUUAUGGCUGGAAUUGAGUGUUGAAAUUUUCUCUCAUGAACGAGGAAUUCCAAGUAAAUGCGAGUCAUCAACUCGCGUUGAUUACGUCCCUGCCCUUUGUACACACCGCCCGUCGCUACCCGGGACUGAGUUGUUUCGAG